UAGUCAUACCAUAAGAAGCCAACAAACACUGACACUAAGGACAACAUAAGGGAAAUUACUUGUGCUUAAUAGAUGAAACAAAGAAACGAUAAUUAAUGGAAAUGAAAGGGGAUGAAAAAAAUGGCUGUGGCUUAGCUAAGGUUAAGCCCAGGAUGCGAAGCAUACUAGCCUUUAUUUUAGUUGUUGAACCACUGUUUAGCCUGGUGAACUGCUGUCACUUGGCUAUAUUUGGUUCGGCUAGACGAAGAAACAACUCAUGCAGGCGAGCACACGAGCUGAGACCCGGCUAUGUAGCUACGCGGCCGCAAGCGAGCGCAUGAGUUGAGCUUCCGCUUUUGCAGCUGUUAUGACGUCAUAUGGUAGCUACGCGGCCGCGCGCGGCGCAGCAAGGAAGAGCGUGGUUGUGCGGCUAGUAUGCUUCGCAUAAAAAUGGCCAGGCUUAGCUUGGUUAAGCCAAGAAUGCGUUGCAUAUUGCGCGAGUUGGGUCCCAGCUUUUCCUCCGGCUGUCGUGACGUCACGUCACGUGGUUGCGCUAAAGGUCAAUGGUGGCUGCCCGGCCGCGCCCAAGGGCUGAACUGAGUGAUUGCAAUAUGCAACGCAUAAAAAUAGAAGCAACUUAAUAACACACAUAGCAAACUUAAAAGAGAAUAGACCCACAUAUGAGACGCGCAGCAAUGAACAAUGGUUCAUACCCUCAAUGGUAGCUACGCGGCCGCGCUCGGCGCAGCAAGGAAGAGAGAAGGUACAAAAGAGAGAGAUAGAGAGAGAGAACGAAAAUGAUGCAUUAAAAUGUAGAGAGGUUAAGCAGAGGUAGUUCCGGUUGGCUACAAAAACGAUACUUUGCUGAUUGAGAUUCUAAGAUCGUCUUCGACGCGUCCGUGUGCUGAAGUUGGGACGACUCAAUCAGACCAUUAAAAUUAUACGGUCACAGACUUCGAAAAUUAGCUGUGCUGAGUUGUGUGCUUUUCUAUGUAUCUUAUGAAGCGCAGCUCCUGGGCGCUCGUGCCUACGCUGAGCGUUGGCAUACAUGACAAUGAUCCGAGCGAUGAUACUAAGCAUGGAAUACAUGGCAAUGAUAGAGCAGACGCAGCUGCCCGAUCUGCCCAUGACGGCGUCAACUGCGUUGCCAUUCCUCUUUCGAGAGCCGACGCAGCGAAAAAACUUGCCGUAUUUGCACACGACCUGACAUUAGCUCAGUGGCAUUCAUCCGAUUUCACAAGUGCACACUUUCGCACCCUGGACCCUAAUUUACAGCUCCGUAUUCCGCCCGAGCUUCCACGACGUGACUGCGCCCUUCUAGUUCGUCUAUGGCUUGGAGUGGCAUUUUCAAUGGCGUACUCCUUUAUUAUCGGAAUGUCCAACAGCCCACUUUGUGACUUUUGCGGAUGCAAUGAAACAAUCGCGCACCUUCUUUGUGAGUGCUCUCGUUUCAACUCGCAAAGAUCAGUCCCCCCAGGCAGCCUAGACAAACUGGACAAGCACCCAAUAGCAGAAAACAAGAUCCUAGGAGACUGGCCUACGCGAACAUCAGCGCGAUCGGCUAUGAAGGCGCUGCUACAGAAUUUACAAGACAAUGGACUUUCUGACAGAUUGUGACUUCACUGUGUGACGCAAGAUUGUACGGUGACACUGCAUAACACUAGGAACGCCUUUGCGGGCUGCGUGACAGUGCCCACAGAAACAAUUCGUGUGUACGUGCGCGUGUGUGUAGUUUGUUCUCCUUUUUUAUUUCCUUCUCUCUCUCACCUAUCGCAUCCCCUCACCCCUCCCCCAGUACAGGGUAGCCAACCGGAGAUAAUCUCUUGUUAACCUGCCUGUCUUUCCUUUGCCUUUCUCUCUCUCUCUCUCUGAGCGUCGACAUCGCUCGGCAUAACCGAAGGAACGAGCACAGCGAAGGAUGAAAGCCCGGACGCCGAGCGCAGCGGGGGAUGAAAGACGGCGAGAGCGAGGAGACCGCGAGGAGGAAAGCGGAGGAGACGGGUGCCUCGGAACUAUCAGGUGGAAAGCAGAGGCGGAGAGUAUGACGAAUGGUAUUGCUGCUGCGUUCUUCAACGUCACCACCACGUGACAUCUGGAGGAUGUGCUUUGCGUUCAUGUACCGGACGCCACCACAAAGCCGUCAGCCAAGCCCGCACGCGGAAUACAACACCAAUGUCGCCAAGAACCCGCGAGGCAGCCGCAGGCUGCAAGGACUGCCCCCGGAGCACGGACUAUUGCCUGAGACGACCAGGAAGAUCGUCGCCCAGUCAACCCAAAUGGCAGCCCCAGCGUCCCCCGCCGUGCUGCAGCAGCCCAGGGAGCCUUCGACGUUCCGAGGUUCAACGUUCGCGGAUCAGGAAACGGCUUGAGACAUACGAGAGCGUAGCUGCUUUUACCUCUGCAAUAGAACGCCUAUGUUAUUCUUUGUCAUCACGGUGUAACCAUUACAACUCUACUGACUCUUAUUUAUUUAUUUGUUCCAGUGCUAAACUUAGAUCUAUGCUUGCAGAAGAAGAAAACUUAUUUACUUAUCUGGUAUCUAUUCA
Molecule: non-coding RNA, 2525 nt
Organism: Dermacentor albipictus
Lineage: Eukaryota; Metazoa; Arthropoda; Arachnida; Ixodida; Ixodidae
Source: RefSeq, a predicted model, not a curated record